GCCACCUUCCAAAGGGGCGGAAUCCCCCUGCCUCGCGUACCCCAGGGGUCUCGGCAGCGCCGCUAUUCUGUGAGCCUAUUCCUCUCAGAAGCGCCGAGCACUAGGCCUGGAAGAGGACAAGUCUAGCAAAUGAGGGGACACGGGCGGAGGGAGGGAUUAAAAGAUGGGGGUGUGAUCCGUGCCAAUGGGGACACCCACUGGUUCGAAUAUUAACGCGAGGUUUGUCCGCUUCUUCACAAUCUGUCCGUUUCGUUUUACUGCGAAAGCAAAUGUGUUCCCAUCCCUCUAUUUGGGGAUACGAUUAGAGUUCCGGGAAGGGGGUGCAGCGCCCGGACUGGCACAACCGCCGUUGUCCCACCUCCUCCGGGGCGGCAACACCGCAGUGCCAGGCCUGGGACUGAGGCGUGGGGUCCCCCCUCGCUCCGUCCUGGCGCCGCCCGUCGCCCCGCCCCUUGGGGGGCCCCGUGGCGCACCCUUGUGACGUAGCGCUUGUGUCGACAUCGGCGCGCGCCGAGCCCGGAAGAGGCGCGGGCUAGGAAAGGAGUUGGUUCGCGCAGGUGCGGCGCCUGGGUCCCCAUGGCGCUGUGGCGCGGCUCCGCGUACGCGGGCUU
This 611-nucleotide long non-coding RNA is filed under the name Homo sapiens (human). RNAcentral's name for it is "non-protein coding lnc-HIGD2B-2:1". Lineage: Eukaryota; Metazoa; Chordata; Mammalia; Primates; Hominidae. The record is from RNAcentral.